GACGUAGGGUGCGAGCGUUGUCCGGAUUUAUUGGGCGUAAAGAGCUCGUAGGCGGCUCGUCGCGUCGACCGUGAAAACCCGCGGCUUAACUGCGGGCUUGCGGUUGAUACGGGCGGGCUAGAGUUCGGUAGGGGAGACUGGAAUUCCCGGUGUAGUGGUGAAAUGCGUAGAUAUCGGGAGGAACACCAGUGGCGAAGGCGACUACCUGGCCUGUUCUUGACGCUGAGGCGCGAAAGCUAGGGGAGCAAACGGG
RNAcentral lists this ribosomal RNA (253 nucleotides) under uncultured bacterium. Its description in RNAcentral is "partial 16S ribosomal RNA". It matches the Rfam family "Bacterial small subunit ribosomal RNA", at positions 524 to 776 of the family's 1533-position model. The record is from RNAcentral.